This 916-nucleotide long non-coding RNA is filed under the name Anser cygnoides (Swan goose). Its description in RNAcentral is "lncRNA (ENSACDG00005007898.1)". Lineage: Eukaryota; Metazoa; Chordata; Aves; Anseriformes; Anatidae. The record is from RNAcentral.
GUUGUCAGCAAAUAGCCUUUGGAGUUUAAUUACAUGAUCAAGAUUGCUGCGGAGCAUGGAAGAUGAAAGAACGAAUAGGUGGGUUGGCUGCACAGCAGUCAUCAACAUAAAACCCUUCAGUGCGGGAACUGCGCUUGAGUGUGAGUUGGCAAACUACAUCUCUGCAUAUAGAUCUGUGCCUGUUUUUGACUGUCUUCAUUUGCAACAGAACACAUAAUGCUAUUUACAUGAGUGGCACCUAUGGAGGAGCAGAUAUUUGGAGUUACAACAGAACAAUGCAUCUAUGGCAACUGUAAUCACCAUUUGUGAUGUAGAAAUCUCUUUGCCUAAGCAAGCAGUGAAAAGGAAUGCCUAGGAAAUGUGCAGAAUUCCCAUUGCUAAAACUCUUAAGAUCAGUUCAAACAAACUUCUCUGAGGAGUGUCACAGUGCCUUCGAAGUUGUUCUUUCAUUCUUCACUGCUAGUGCACUCUGCAGUCUCAGAGGCUGGGUCAAUGAAGGGGCACACAGUAUAUCUUCAGAAGAGAUCAAUUGCAAUCCCCCAAAGACUGUGCUGCAUUACCAUUACAGAAGAUCACUAAUCAGCAACAACUUGCUAUAUGGCAUUGGACACAUGUAACUUAUCUCCCUGCAUUAUCCUCUUUUUUUUUAAAAAAAAAAAAAAAAUCACAAAUCUCCAAACAGCUAUGUGGAGGAUUGAAUGAGAUUAUGCUCUUACCCUGCUAAGCCUGGGGUAAACAGUGACGCAGACACAGAAGACUGGAAUUCUUCUGCCUCUCAGAAACAAGCAGUAUUUUUUCCCUGUUUUUUUCUGCUUGCUUCUCAAUGGGAAUGAAGCAAACAACAUUGAUUUGGUAUGUUUUAGGAAAUAUUUUGAUUUUAAAUAAAGAUUGUUUUGUAUGUUUUAAGUUUGAAUAA